Long non-coding RNA from Cydia pomonella (codling moth), 515 nucleotides. RefSeq lists it as uncharacterized. NCBI's taxonomy places the organism in Eukaryota, Metazoa, Arthropoda, Insecta, Lepidoptera, Tortricidae. The record is from RefSeq and is a predicted model, not a curated record. The transcript has 2 exons.
ACACAUGCGUUUACAUUAUAGAUGGUGGCGAAACAGGACGGACUUAUGUGGCAGAAGGAAAUGGAUGUAGACUGUGUGUUUUGAAACCUGUGUCAUUGGUCUAUACCAAUUAUUGCAGUUGAGUGCAGUAAAGUGGAGUAUCACUAGAUGUGGUGAAAAUGGAUUUCACUAUCUAUCUUUGGAUAGCAUUCUUGUUCGUAUUCCUCUCAAUCGUAUAUUGCUGUUGGUGGUGCAAGAAAUUCCAUCGAGAUGUAGAAUCAGAGAACCAAUCAAGCAACCAGAUGACCAGAAGUAACAGCGACCACGAUUUUAGCUAUUGGGCCCAUGGGUGGCCUAUCAGCUAUAUAGACUACAAACAUCACGACCAUCAUGAUCAUCAUCACGGAAGUGAUAGUUAUCAGAAUUCACACGUGGGCCAUGAUACAAGUCACGUCCAUAGUCAUGAUUUGGCGUAAGAAGAAAUUCCAUCGAGAUAUUGAAUCCGAGAACCAACCAAAUGACGCGAAGUAUAACAA